RNAcentral lists this long non-coding RNA (913 nucleotides) under Ananas comosus (pineapple). Its description in RNAcentral is "long non-coding RNA (ACOM_LNC020897)". Lineage: Eukaryota; Viridiplantae; Streptophyta; Magnoliopsida; Poales; Bromeliaceae. The record is from RNAcentral.
UUUAGUUUUUGCAGAUUCGGGCCGAAUUUUCAGAAGGAUGACGAAACUACCCCUCUUUCAAAAUUCAUAAAAAUUAUAUACUUUAAAUGUCUAGAAAAAUACAACUGUUAAGCCAAUAUGUAUAAAACUUCUUGAAAAUGAUAACUGCUAAGCCAUAAUUAUAUGCAUGUACCUUUCUUGUAAAACAAGAAACCUCAUUCAAGAGAAAAUAAAAAAAAUAAAGAUUAAUUAAUAAGAAGAAAGAGUGCAAAAUCCUCUCAAAUAGUGUAACAAUCUCUUCAAAAUAGUGCAAUAUCUGUAUAAGUAGUGCAACAUAUGCAUUGUUAAUACACAUUUUGCAUGAUUUUUACACUAAGUUACGUACAGUUUAGUAUAUUACACAAAAAUAAUAUAAUAUAUUACAAUAUAUUAUAAAAAUUAUACAAUAUAUGUACAAACGGUGCAUAUUUUACACUAUUUAUACAUAUAUUUACACCAUUUCUGUAAAUGUUGCACUAUUAUGAGAGAAUGUUGCACCAUUUAGAUGUGUGUUGCACUCUUUCUUUUUGAAAAUUAAAUUUCAUUGCAUAUUAAAUGAAGUGUAAAACUUCUUGGAAAUGACAACUGCUAAGCCAUAAUUACAUGCAUGUACCUUUCUCGUGAAACGAGAAACCUCAUUCAAGAGAAAAUAAAAAAAAUAAAGAUUAAUUAAUAAGAUGAAAGAGUGCAAUAUCCUCUCAAAUAGUGCAACAAUCUCUUCAAAAUAGUGCAAUAUCUGUAUAAUUAGUGCAACAUAUGCAUUGUUAAUACACAUUUUGCAUGAUUUUUACACUAAGUUACGUACAGUUUAGUAUAUUACGCGAAAAUAAUAUAAUAUAUUACAAUAUAUUAUAAAAAUUAUACAAUAUAUGUACAAACGGUGCAUAUUUUACAC